GAUAAGGCGCUGUAUCAAAUGCAAGGAUUAUUAUUAUUAUUAUUAACACACGGUAUUCAGUAUCUCACUCAGAAGGAUGAAGUCAAACCAUUAGAAGUUCCAUUUGUUGACACAAGAUGGUGGUCAGUGAUCACGGUGCCUCUGGCCCUGUUGACGGCGGCUAUGCUUACCAGAGCUGUUCUUCUGUUACAGUUCCUGAAAGGCCGAGACAAAAGUAGUAAAUACAGCACGAUUACAGGGAAGAAAAUCAAAAUGAAAGUCAAAAAGACAAAAGGCGAUAAACAGAGAGACCGAAAUCGAGCGGAACUCCUCCAGUUCCUGAACUCUGCCAUGUAGAGGCGAUGAAUAGUGGGAUUCGUAAACCGUGAAAUACAGGAUCUGUCAUCAGCCUGGACUUUUGCCACUGAAGACCUGUCCGUGUCUUCAAUUGGAAAAACUCAGGGAAAAACCUCACAAAUCCAGAUCAGGUGGACGUUUCUGCUGUGGACACCGAGGAAGGUUGUGUUAUUGUCUGCUUUGCUGUUGAGCUCUGACGUUGUGACCAUCUGGAUUGUUUGAGAAAUGUAUAACUCCUGUAACAGGAAGGGGACUUGAGACACCGUUUAUAAUGUAUCCUGACUGCUUUUAUCAAAGGACUUCUUUGGGAAGGAAAGCUCUUCACGUAAUGACUGCGGAAAGUUGCCUGCUCGUUUUGGACAGAUAUUUUGAUAAGGAUUUUUUUUUUUUUUGUUCUGCACAGGCGAUGCUCACAUUCCAAACUGCUCGGAAAAAUUUGAGUUGCAUCGAUCUUGAUUAAUAAAAAAAGCAGGAAAUCGAGAUGUAGAUAGAUAUUGCAUCAUUUCGAGAAGCGUGAUUUCUAUAAACGUACAUCACUGGAUUUAAAGAUCAAAGAUCAAACCUUUCUGACUUGACAAUCAAAGUGGGCGUAAAAUUCGAGGGGUUUCGGCACGAUAUCCCCGGCUGUGUAAGUAAACGCGGAAAGGCAAUAAAACUAUCUUAAAAAUAAUGUCGGAUACGAAGGAUUCUUUAGGAAGCUGAUUCUUUCAAACACAGAUUGGAUAGUUUUCUUUUAGGAAAUAACAUUAUGUUCUUAUGGAGGAGACCUGCAACAUUCUAGUUAUACGUGAAAGAAUCUGUAUUUGAAAAAGAAA
Callorhinchus milii (elephant shark) is the source of this 1151-nucleotide long non-coding RNA. RefSeq lists it as uncharacterized. The record is from RefSeq and is a predicted model, not a curated record. NCBI's taxonomy places the organism in Eukaryota, Metazoa, Chordata, Chondrichthyes, Chimaeriformes, Callorhinchidae. The transcript is spliced from 2 exons.